Molecule: ribosomal RNA, 497 nt
Filed under: uncultured bacterium
Lineage: Bacteria
Description: partial 16S ribosomal RNA
Rfam family: Bacterial small subunit ribosomal RNA
Source: RNAcentral
GAUGAACGCUGGCGGCGUGCCUAAUACAUGCAAGUCGAGCGAACAGAUAAGGAGCUUGCUCCUUUGACGUUAGCGGCGGACGGGUGAGUAACACGUGGGUAACCUACCUAUAAGACUGGAAUAACUCCGGGAAACCGGGGCUAAUGCAGGAUAACAUGUUGAACCGCAUGGUUCUACAGUGAAAGGCGGCUUUGCUGUCACUUAUAGAUGGACCCGCGCCGUAUUAGCUAGUUGGUGAGGUAACGGCUCACCAAGGCAACGAUACGUAGCCGACCUGAGAGGGUGAUCGGCCACACUGGAACUGAGACACGGUCCAGACUCCUACGGGAGGCAGCAGUAGGGAAUCUUCCGCAAUGGGCGAAAGCCUGAAGGAGCAACGCCGCGUGAGUGAUGAAGGUCUUCGGAUCGUAAAACUCUGUUAUUAGGGAAGAACAAAUGCGUAAGUAACUGUGCGCGUCUUGACGGUACCUAAUCAGAAAGCCACGGCUAACUACGUG